This 298-nucleotide ribosomal RNA is filed under the name uncultured bacterium. RNAcentral's name for it is "partial 16S ribosomal RNA". It matches the Rfam family "Bacterial small subunit ribosomal RNA", at positions 29 to 346 of the family's 1533-position model. The record is from RNAcentral.
AACGAACGCUGGCGGCAUGCCUAACACAUGCAAGUCGAACGGGAUCCUAGCUUGCUAGGUGAGAGUGGCGGACGGGUGAGUAACACGUGGGAAUCUGCCUUUUGGUUCGGGAUAACCGCGGGAAACUGCGGCUAAUACCGAAUGCCCUCGAGAGAGGAAAGAUUUAUCGCCAGAAGAGGAGCCCGCGUCCGAUUAGGUAGUUGGUGGGGUAAAAGGCCUACAAGCCGACGAUCGGUAGCUGGUCUGAGAGGAUGAUCAGCCACACUGGGACUGAGAUACGGCCCAGACUCCUACGGGA